GGGAAGGUGGCUCAGUGGUAGAGUGCUUGCCUUGCAUGCAUGAAGCCUUGGGUUUGAUUCCUCCACACCA
This 70-nucleotide transfer RNA is filed under the name Dipodomys ordii (Ord's kangaroo rat). It matches the Rfam family "tRNA". From Rfam's summary of the family: Transfer RNA (tRNA) molecules are approximately 80 nucleotides in length. Their secondary structure includes four short double-helical elements and three loops (D, anti-codon, and T loops). The record is from Rfam by way of RNAcentral. Lineage: Eukaryota; Metazoa; Chordata; Mammalia; Rodentia; Heteromyidae.